Molecule: ribosomal RNA, 301 nt
Filed under: uncultured bacterium
Lineage: Bacteria
Description: partial 16S ribosomal RNA
Rfam family: Bacterial small subunit ribosomal RNA
Source: RNAcentral
CAGUCGCCGCGGUAAUACAGAGGGUGCGAGCGUUAAUCGGAUUUACUGGGCGUAAAGCGUGCGUAGGCGGCUUCUUAAGUCGGAUGUGAAAUCCCUGAGCUUAACUUAGGAAUUGCAUUCGAUACUGGGAAGCUAGAGUAUGGGAGAGGAUGGUAGAAUUCCAGGUGUAGCGGUGAAAUGCGUAGAGAUCUGGAGGAAUACCGAUGGCGAAGACAGCCAUCUGGCCUAAUACUGACGCUGAGGUACGAAAGCAUGGGGAGCAAACAGGAUUAGAUACCCGUGUAGUCCCUGUCUCUUAUAC